CUACACGGCAGAGCUUGAUACUGGAA
Molecule: unclassified non-coding RNA, 26 nt
Filed under: Mus musculus (house mouse)
Lineage: Eukaryota; Metazoa; Chordata; Mammalia; Rodentia; Muridae
Description: oocyte_clustered_small_RNA6378
Source: RNAcentral